AUGAACUCUGGAUUUUGUUGCAGCAGGAGGUGCAGGCACAAAGAGGAAGAGGCAGCAGCCCUAGCCCUUUGCUCUGUGAUGCACCUCAACCACUGUGGAUAUGUUGGGGCAGUCAGGGUCUGGUUAAAGAAGGGCACUCUUUGGCCAGCCUCUGGCAACUCUCUGUGGGCAUGCUGCUUCAGCCCAUGCAGGAUCUCCUAG
This 201-nucleotide long non-coding RNA is filed under the name Anser brachyrhynchus (Pink-footed goose). RNAcentral's name for it is "lncRNA (ENSABRG00000018872.1)". Lineage: Eukaryota; Metazoa; Chordata; Aves; Anseriformes; Anatidae. The record is from RNAcentral.